RNAcentral lists this ribosomal RNA (468 nucleotides) under uncultured bacterium. RNAcentral's name for it is "partial 16S ribosomal RNA". It matches the Rfam family "Bacterial small subunit ribosomal RNA", at positions 28 to 507 of the family's 1533-position model. The record is from RNAcentral.
GACGAACGCUGGCGGCGUGCUUAACACAUGCGAGUCGAACGGAAAGGCCCUGCUUUUGUGGGGUGCUCGAGUGGCGAACGGGUGAGUAACACGUGAGUAACCUGCCCUUGACUUUGGGAUAACUUCAGGAAACUGGGGCUAAUACCGGAUAGGAGCUCCUGCUGCAUGGUGGGGGUUGGAAAGUUUCGGCGGUUGGGGAUGGACUCGCGGCUUAUCAGCUUGUUGGUGGGGUAGUGGCUUACCAAGGCUUUGACGGGUAGCCGGCCUGAGAGGGUGACCGGCCACAUUGGGACUGAGCUACGGCCCAGACUCCUACGCGAGGCAGCAGUGGGGAAUAUUGCACAAUGGGCGGAAGCCUGAUGCAGCACCGCCGCGUGCGGGAUGACGGCCUUCGGGUUGUAAACCGCUUUCGCCUGUGACGAAGCGUGAGUGACGGUAAUGGGUAAAGAAGCACCGGCUAACUACGUG